CAUGUGGACUUGCACCAGAUGCAGAUGCUUUUGUCGACUCUGUGGAUGCAAAGUUUAUUGGCAGUGAUCACCGUGUGCUCACGUGGCGGAGUCUAUUGGGGUUUGUGAUCGCAUCUCCCCGUGCAGAUGUAGCCACCUCUUGUUCUGACAGGCCCCAAUUCACAUGGAGCUGUUCUGCGAUGCCAACGAUUGCCACUAGAUGGAGCAUGUGUUCUUUCCAAAUCAAAGCACUCCACUUCUGUGUUUUACGUUUCUUUUGCCAUUCCUGGAAAAAUUGUAAACAGUUGUAUAAGAAACCUGAGUUGAAAAUAAUAAAGGAUAAACUUAAUUUUAAUAUUCCA
Hippoglossus stenolepis (Pacific halibut) is the source of this 341-nucleotide long non-coding RNA. RefSeq lists it as uncharacterized. The transcript is spliced from 4 exons. NCBI's taxonomy places the organism in Eukaryota, Metazoa, Chordata, Actinopteri, Pleuronectiformes, Pleuronectidae. The record is from RefSeq and is a predicted model, not a curated record.